GGCCUGAUGGUCUAGAGGUAUGAUUCUCUCUUAGGGUUAAGUACACCGUUUGGGAGAGGUCCCGGGUUCAAUCCCCGGUUAGGCCC
Molecule: transfer RNA, 86 nt
Filed under: Rhodotorula sp. CCFEE 5036
Lineage: Eukaryota; Fungi; Basidiomycota; Microbotryomycetes; Sporidiobolales; Sporidiobolaceae
Description: tRNA-Pro
Source: RNAcentral